UACCAGCACCCCGAGUGGUCGGGACGAUUAUUGGGCCUAAAGCCUCCGUAGCCGGUUCUACAAGUCUACCGUUAAAUCCACCUGCUUAACAGAUGGGCUGCGGAGGAUACUAUAGAGCUAGGAGGCGGGAGAGGCAAGCGGUACUUAGUGGGUAGGGGUAAAAUCCGUUGAUCCAUUGAAGACCACCAGUGGCGAAGGCGGCUUGCCAGAACGCACUCGACGGUGAGGGAUGAAAGCUGGGGGAGCAAACCGG
This 253-nucleotide ribosomal RNA is filed under the name uncultured bacterium. RNAcentral describes it as "partial 16S ribosomal RNA". It matches the Rfam family "Archaeal small subunit ribosomal RNA", at positions 474 to 727 of the family's 1478-position model. The record is from RNAcentral.